CCUACGGGAGGCAGCAGUGAGGAAUAUUGGUCAAUGGACGAGAGUCUGAACCAGCCAAGUAGCGUGAAGGAUGACGGCCCUAUGGGUGGUAAACUUCAUUUAUAGGGGAAUAAAAUGUUACACGGGCGGGCUUUUGUUUGUACCAUAUCAAUAAGGAUCGGCUAACUCCGUGCCAGCAGCCGCGGUAAUACGGAGGAUCCGAGCGUUAUCCGGAUUUAGUGGGUGUAAAGGGAGCGUAGGUGGAUUGUUAAGUCAGAUGUGAAAGUUUGGGGCUCAACCGUCAAAUUGCAGUUGAAACUGGCUGUCUUGAGUACAGUAGAGGUGAGCGGAAUUCGUGGUGUAGCGGUGAAAUGCUUAGAUAUCACGAAGAACUCCGAUUGCGAAGGCAGCUCACUGGACUGCAACUGACACUGAGGCUCGAAAGUGUGGGUAUCAAACAGGAUUAGAUACCCCAGUAGUC
RNAcentral lists this ribosomal RNA (460 nucleotides) under uncultured bacterium. RNAcentral describes it as "partial 16S ribosomal RNA". It matches the Rfam family "Bacterial small subunit ribosomal RNA", at positions 338 to 795 of the family's 1533-position model. The record is from RNAcentral.